AGAGGAAAAUCACUAGAUGUGGGUGUGAGGCUAAACUUGCGGUAAAACGUAUGAUUGAGAAUACGUAUGUUGUGCCUCUUUUCAUAGAUUGUUGUUAAGUUCGUUUUAAAAUAUAAGUAUAAAAAUUCAACUCUUUUGUUUCAGGUUUGCUGGUGGCAGUAAAGACAUGUGAAGGUUUCAUAAACAAAGACUACUGCAGGAUGUUUGGAGCUGUAGUGGUGCACUGAUACAUUCUUCAGCUUGUACUCGAGUUAUGUCCGAUGUAUAAACGUGAGAUUUACUAUAACUGUUAAUGGCUAAUGAGUUAGUGAUGUGUCUAUGUUGUAACAAAACACCCUAGCAUAAUGCGGUUAACUACUGGAACGAGGCACUGGCAGUAAGAGGAAAUAUGAGAGGAAAAUCACUAGAUGUGGGUGUGAGGCUAAACUUGCGGUAAAACGUAUGAUUGAGAAUACGUUUGCUGGUGGCAGUAAAGACAUGUGAAGGUUUCAUAAACAAAGACUACUGCAGGAUGUUUGGAGCUGUAGUGGUGCACUGAUACAUUCUUCAGCUUGUACUCGAGUUAUGUCCGAUGUAUAAACGUGAGAUUUACUAUAACUGUUAAUGGCUAAUGAGUUAGUGAUGUGUCUAUGUUGUAACAAAACUCCCUAGCAUAAUGUGGCUAUCAUGCCUUAACUACUGUACAUGUUGUUGAAGUAUGCAGUACUGCAAGUGAAUACUGGGCUACUAAAAUUAGCUUCCUUCA
Molecule: non-coding RNA, 745 nt
Organism: Triticum urartu
Lineage: Eukaryota; Viridiplantae; Streptophyta; Magnoliopsida; Poales; Poaceae
Source: RefSeq, a predicted model, not a curated record